CGCAUCCAGGUGAGACUGGGAGAGCACAACGUCGAAGUUCUGGAGGGGAAUGAGCAGUUCAUCAAUGCAGCCAAGAUCAUCCGCCACCCCAAAUACAACAGUUGGACUCUGGACAAUGACAUCCUGCUGAUCAAGCUCUCCAUGCCUGCUGUCAUCAAUGCCCACAUUUCCUCAUCUCUGGCUAGGGCAACACUCUGAGCUCUGGUGCCAACUAUCCAGAUGAGCUGCAGUGCCUGGACACUCAUGUGCUGACCCAGGCUGACUGUGAAGCCUCCUACCCUGGAGAGAUUACCAACAACAUGUUCUGUGUGGGUUUCCUUGAGGGAGGCAAGGAUUCCUGCCAGGGUGACUCUGGUGGCCCUGUGGUCUGCAACGGACAGCUCCAAGGAGUUGUCUCCUGGGGCUAUGGCUGUGCCCAGAAGAACAGGCCUGGAGUCUACACCAAGGUCUACAACUAUGUGGACUGGAUUAAGGACACCAUAGCUGCCAACAGCUAA
RNAcentral lists this long non-coding RNA (497 nucleotides) under Homo sapiens (human). RNAcentral's name for it is "non-protein coding lnc-PRSS1-2:1". The record is from RNAcentral. Lineage: Eukaryota; Metazoa; Chordata; Mammalia; Primates; Hominidae.